Molecule: ribosomal RNA, 972 nt
Filed under: Prevotella sp. oral taxon 300
Lineage: Bacteria; Pseudomonadati; Bacteroidota; Bacteroidia; Bacteroidales; Prevotellaceae
Description: bacterial SSU rRNA
Rfam family: Bacterial small subunit ribosomal RNA
Source: RNAcentral
GAUGAACGCUAGCUACAGGCUUAACACAUGCAAGUCGAGGGGAAACGGGAGAAUAGCUUGCUAUUCUUUGUCGUCGACCGGCGCACGGGUGAGUAACGCGUAUCCAACCUUCCCAUAACUAAGGAAUACCCCGUAGAAAUGCGGCCUAAUCCCUUAUGGUCUCUUAUGCCUGACAUCGGAAUAAGAGUAAAGAUUUAUCGGUUAUGGAUGGGGAUGCGUCUGAUUAGCUUGCUGGCGGGGUAACGGCCCACCAGGGCAUCGAUCAGUAGGGGUUCUGAGAGGAAGGUCCCCCACAUUGGAACUGAGACACGGUCCAAACUCCUACGGGAGGCAGCAGUGAGGAAUAUUGGUCAAUGGACGGAAGCCUGAACCAGCCAAGUAGCGUGCAGGAUGACGGCCCUAUGGGUUGUAAACUGCUUUUUAAGGGGAAUAAAGAGGGGCACGCGUGCCCUGUUGCAUGUAGCCUUGGAAUAAGGACCGGCUAAUUCCGUGCCAGCAGCCGCGGUAAUACGGAAGGUCCAGGUGUUAUCCGGAUUUAUUGGGUUUAAAGGGAGCGUAGGCCGCAGGUUAAGUGUGUUGUGAAAAGCAGUCGCCCAACGUCUGCCUUGCAGCGCAAACUGUCCUGCUUGAGUGCGCACAACGCAGGCGGAAUUCGUCGUGUAGCGGUGAAAUGCUUAGAUAUGACGAAGAACUCCGAUUGCGAAGGCAGCUUGCGGGAGCGCAACUGACGCUGAAGCUCGAAAGUGCGGGUAUCGAACAGGAUUAGAUACCCUGGUAGUCCGCACGGUAAACGCUGGAUGCCCGUUUUUGGCUUAUUUAAGUCAGAGACCAAGCGAAAGCAUGAAGCAUCCCACCUGGGGAGUACGCCGGCAACGGUGAAACUCAAAGGAAUUGACGGGGGCCCGCACAAGCGGAGGAACAUGUGGUUAAUUCGAUGAUACGCGAGGAACCUUACCCGGGGCUUGAAAUUGC